CGUAGCAAUACGUGGCACACGGCUCAGUAACACGUAGUCAACAUAACCAAUGGACGUGGAUAAACUCGGGAAACUGAGGCUAAACCGCGAUAGACCAAGAUACCUGGAAUGGUUUUUGAUCAAAAUCUAUAUGGCCUUUGGAUUGGACUGCGACCGAUCAGGCUGUUGGUGAGGUAAUGGCCCACCAAACCUGUAACCGGUACGGGCUCUGAGAGGAGGAGCCCGGAGAUGGGUACUGAGACAAGGACCCAGGCCCUAUGGGGCGCAGCAGGCGCGAAACCUCUGCAAUAGGCGAAAGCCUGACAGGGUUAUUCUGAGUGACUUUCGCUAAGAAAGUCUUUUGACAUCUCUAAAAAUGGUGUAGAAUAAGGGGUGGGCAAGUCUGGUGUCAGCCGCCGCGGUAAUACCAGCACCCCGAGUGGUCGGGACGAUUAUUGGGCCUAAAGCAUCCGUAGCCGGUUUUACAAGUCCUCCGUUAAAUCCAACUGCUUAACAGAUGGGCCGCGGAGGAUACUAUAAGACUAGGAGGCAGGAGAGGCAAGCGGUACUCAGUGGGUAGGGGUAAAAUCCGUUGAUCCAUUGAAGACCACCAGUGGCGAAGGCGGCUUGCCAGAAUGCGCUCGACGGUGAGGGAUGAAAGCUGGGGGAGCAAACCGGAUUAGAUACCCGGGUAGUCCCAGCUGUAAAC
Molecule: ribosomal RNA, 688 nt
Filed under: uncultured Nitrososphaerota archaeon
Lineage: Archaea; Thermoproteati; Nitrososphaerota
Description: bacterial SSU rRNA
Rfam family: Archaeal small subunit ribosomal RNA
Source: RNAcentral